Molecule: ribosomal RNA, 568 nt
Filed under: uncultured bacterium
Lineage: Bacteria
Description: bacterial SSU rRNA
Rfam family: Bacterial small subunit ribosomal RNA
Source: RNAcentral
CCUACGGGAGGCAGCAGUGGGGAAUAUUGCACAAUGGGCGCAAGCCUGAUGCAGCGACGCCGCGUGAGGGAUGACGGCCUUCGGGUUGUAAACCUCUUUCAGCAGGGACGAAGCGCAAGUGACGGUACCUGCAGAAGAAGCACCGGCCAACUACGUGCCAGCAGCCGCGGUAAUACGUAGGGUGCAAGCGUUGUCCGGAAUUACUGGGCGUAAAGAGCUCGUAGGCGGUUUGUCGCGUCGUCUGUGAAAACCAGCAGCUCAACUGUUGGCUUGCAGGCGAUACGGGCAGACUUGAGUAUUUCAGGGGAGACUGGAAUUCCUGGUGUAGCGGUGAAAUGCGCAGAUAUCAGGAGGAACACCGGUGGCGAAGGCGGGUCUCUGGGAAAUAACUGACGCUGAGGAGCGAAAGCGUGGGUAGCGAACAGGAUUAGAUACCCUGGUAGUCCACGCCGUAAACGGUGGGCGCUAGGUGUGGGUUUCCUUCCACGGGAUCCGUGCCGUAGCUAACGCAUUAAGCGCCCCGCCUGGGGAGUACGGCCGCAAGGCUAAAACUUAAAUGAAUUGACGG